UAGGGACUUUACUGACGGGACUCUGGGCUGGCUGCUCUGUUCACUCGUCAGCGCAAGUGGCGUGACCAUGUAAUUGGGGCACGGGGCCGGCGCGGCGCGCUGCGGGCUUGCAGAAUUUUGUUUGUUUGUUUGGCCGCGCGCUGGCGCAGCCACGGGCCGCAGUUACUGGGGCGCGCUGUCGUAACAAGCCGCGCGGUGUGGCCUGCACAUUGGGGUAGAGGGGGGGUAGUCUUCCCAGAUGUUCUAGUUAGUUGUUUAGUAAAUUUGACUUCAAUAACGAGCUUUUGUUAUGCUAGGCGCGGCAGGGCGCGCGAAUUUAAGCGCAAGUGAUUGGUGACUCGGGGCUCACUCAGGCGGAGGCUAUGCGUCUCACCUGUGGUCACGAGUUGUUAGUUCGUUCGUGAUGUAGGAAUUCAGGCUCACUCAGGCGGAGGCUAUGCGUCUCACCUGUGGUCACGAGUUGUUAGUUCGUUCGUGAUGUAGGAAUUCAAGCUUUCGGGCAGAAGCUAUGGCCGACGCCAGAGGCCACGAGUCGUUUAAUUUAAGUUAGGUCAUAAUGUAGUCAUCUUCAAGCUUUCGGGCGGAGGCAAUGGCCUUCGUCACUAGUCGUUUAGUUAUAAUUUUUAAAAUGUAAUGUUCGUUCGGAUUUUAAGGGCAGGAGAGGCCCCUACGUUAGUUUUAAGUAAUCGAUCAAGAAAGGCUUUUCGGAAAAUGUGAGUAUGGACUUAUCUUUGUUUUAAUUUUAAGUAUUAAUUAUGAUUUGAGGUAUUCGGAAGGACUAGGGAAGUGUUUAGUGAAGUUCUCUCAUUCUCUCUCUUGUAAGGUCGUUCAAUCGUUAAGGAAGUAAAGAGAUUAUUGUUUUAAAUUGUAAUCCCGCUAUUUAAAUGUUCUUUAAAAUGAUGUUGAGUAUUUGACUUUAAGAAUAAAAUAAUUUUAAUUAAGUAUUAUGUUAUUUUGCAAAAUCUCCUUAGUUCAGCUCUCACCAGACAUCCUGUACGGGAUGACGAACCUAUGAUCCUAGGUACAGUAAAGUAUUUUAUGAAGUUAAGACUAGUUGAUGCCAAGCGAGUUGUUUCUAUGUAAAGAGCUACGAUUCUCGCCCCCCCCCUCUGAAGGUGGAUCGUGACAGAAAUGGUAGAGUUCGCCGGAUAGGUUCUAUUUCUGGAGAGAGAGAGAGGUAGAUUUUUAUGUUUAUUAUUAAGUUAGUUUCAGCUUCUGAUAGCAGGUUAUUAAGAGUUUACUUGAGGAGAGGAUUACGGAAUUUUAGUCUAUAGUGGAGGAAGUCUUUGAGAUUUUUUUUUUGACGUAACAGAUGAUUAUUUGAGUAUACUUGUAAGGAUAAAGUUUAUAGUGAUAAGUUGUUUUAAGUCGUUGAGUUUAUCGGGGAUUUUUACGUGAGGAGAAUACGUUAUAAUUUAAAUACUUAAUAAAGAUAAUGCAAGUGGUUUAGUUUUAUUAAAGUUAAUUUAAGAUUGUAGGUUAAGAGAAUUAUAAUUUAAAAUAAAAAAUUUUUGUCGUAAAUAGGAAUUAUUUUCAAGUGAAGUUUGUUUUGUUGUCGUGCGCGUAGGAGACGAGACGUACGAAUUAAAUCAGUCGAGGGAAGGAUAAACGUUAGAAAGGAAUUAAAGAGAAAACGAGAGUUUAUGUAAAAGAGAGUUAUAGAAUUUAUAGUGAUGUUUUGUUUUAAUUAGAAAAAUGUUGAGAGUUGUUUCAGAACGACACGUCAGUGGACGUGGCAGAGUGAACACGUGACGGGGAGGUGCUGAGACCUAGCGGAGAACGGAGGAACCGCAAGCGAGGGUUGGCGCACCUGAUGGAAUUCGGUGACGUCACGGGCUCAUACGGAGACGUGGACAGGCCGUGACCUUGUUUUGAUCAGCUGUACGGUAACUUAGCGAUAAGAAAAUAGACUAUUGGUUAAAUAAAUUUAAAUUUAAGUGUGUUUUAGAAGAAGAGGAACUUUCAGUAUAUUCCUUAAGAUGAGCUGAGCAGCAGUCCAGUUUACAAGAUGACAAGAGUUCGAGAGACAAGAUACAAGAUCACUGAAACAAGAGCCAAGACUGAAGAUUCAAGAGAAGAGAAAGCUGGCAGCCAUGGACUUACAAGUGGAGAUUAAUAAGGUCAUGUAAAGUUUUAUUUUUUUUUAUGGAAGACAGUAACUGGAGUUUUUUUUUGUUAUAAACAUUAUUUACAGAACUUUUUAGGUUAUAGUAAUGUGAUGGAACUAGUGAGUUGUGGUAGCUGUCAAAAAGAACUAAUACCUUAAGUUUAAUUUUUAAAGUUAAUUUUCUUAAUUUACAGAGGGAUUAGUAGUUUUUUUUAAACCUUAUUUAGGUUGGAAUUUCAAUACAAUAGCUUAUUAUAAAUGUGUACGAACAGUUCAAGUUCACCGUACUGAUAGGUAGGUCAGAUGAUCUUAUUGAUUUUGAUGAUUUGUUGUUUUGAGUUGAUUUUUAGGUGUUGUGAAUUAGACAAUGAAAUAGUUUUGAAAACUUAAAUUAUUUCAAGCUAAGAAAUAGUAAAUUUAAUUGUAACUCAAAGGACACCAGAAUUUAAUUUUUUUUUUGAAUUAGUAAUGUUUGAAAAUUUUAUACUUUACCAGAAAGGUUAUAAACAAACAGAUCGGAUGGAACAAGGAUGCAGUAAAUCACAAUUUCAUUUAGAAUUAUUGAUUAGCUUUUGAGGUUAUGAAGUAAAAGUAAUUAUAGUUUAAAAGUUUGAAUAAAAAAAAAUGUUUUUUUUUAUUUGUUUGAAAUAGAAAGUUUAAAAGUUAAUUAGUCAUGAUCUAGGUGGGUGAUGGGGUGGGAAUUGGCCACUCUUUUUCCCUAUAACCUCCCUAACAUGGCCUUCUAUUACAACUAACAGAAAUAAAGAAGAAGAAAAAUGAAGAAUUAUUAGUUAGAAUGUUUCUUUCAUGAAGAUACCUGAUGAACUUUUACUGUUUGGAAGAAUAGAAGCAAGGUUAGUCAGAUAUUUUUACUCAGAAGAAGAAGAAGAUAAAGCAGUUUUAUGACUCGACAAGCCAGAGAUUGGUGUUUCCCCUCUGCGCUUCUAUUGACUACGUUGUUUACUCUCAUGGGAUAGCUGGUUCGGCACCAUGGAGAGAGAUUGGUGGGCAUUGUGGUUGCCCCCAGAAGAAAAGAAGAGUAGAAGAGGUUAUGGGUGGGUCAUGUGAACUGACCUUCAACCCAGUUACUUCGUGGGGACUAUUUGCUGUAUAGAGAAGAUCAAGACUCAAGAGUUAGGGAAAAUCAUUGGAGGUCAUGUUUCCCUUCCCUAAGUUUUUCCUAUCAAAUUAUUUGCCUGAUUAGAUUAUGCUAAGGGUGGGAUACUUUAUGUUAGCAGUUGAAUUAAUUAAUUUUAUUUUUUUGUGUGUUUGCAUCCUUGCCCAUCGAUUGCAGUUUAGUAGUUAGUUUUGUAUUUGUCAGGCGUGAUGGUAAUGCCUGUUGAUGAUGUUUCAGAAUUGUAAUCUGUUCGUGAUGAGGAUGGCACAACUCCGAAGCAGAUGUGGGGAGAAGUUGUGAGCUGCCCUGGAAGCCAGUCCAGUAGCUGUUGGAGUUGAGUGGUGUUUGCUGAUGGCCAGCCCAGGGAGCUACUCUUCUCGACAACACUGACUUCGAGGAGUUGCACCAACCUUCACGAGAUAAGAGUUUAAUUAAUUGAAACACUGUAAGGACACUUAAUUUUUUUUGAAGAACGAAAGAAGUAUGGUAAUAAACGGAAACCGAAAAAAAAAAAAUAAUAAUAAUUAUCAAGAAUUUGCACAUUGUUUAACGAAUACUGAGAAACUAAGAACAGUAAUUUAAUUUGUAAAGAGAGCUUCACUAACAGAACAAUUUUUUUAGAAUUGAGAACUCGAGCCUCUGAAGGUUCCUGUGAGAACAAACCAGAUAAAAGUUUUACAUUUAAUUUUAUGAAUACUUGUUGUUUUAAAAUAAAUCUUAUGCAGAAUCUAGAUGUAUGUUCAGACAGCAAGGAACUAAGAAAAUUAUUAUUUUUGUGAAAUGAGGAAUUUAUAGUUAUGGUUUAAUGGAAAAAGACAAUUUGUAAUUUUGAGGUAGCUCGAUGGGGCUCGAGCUCUGUGAGGGGUGGGUUAUGUCGCGGGUUGAAAUUUUGCAGGGUUGUUGAAAUCAAAUUUAGGGACUUUACUGACGGGACUCUGGGCUGGCUGCUCUGUUCACUCGUCAGCGCAAGUGGCGUGACCAUGUAAUUGGGGCACGGGGCCGGCGCGGCGCGCUGCGGGCUUGCAGAAUUUUGUUUGUUUGUUUGGCCGCGCGCUGGCGCAGCCACGGGCCGCAGUUACUGGGGCGCGCUGUCGUAACAAGCCGCGCGGUGUGGCCUGCACAUUGGGGUAGAGGGGGGGUAGUCUUCCCAGAUGUUCUAGUUAGUUGUUUAGUAAAUUUGACUUCAAUAACGAGCUUUUGUUAUGCUAGGCGCGGCAGGGCGCGCGAAUUUAAGCGCAAGUGAUUGGUGACUCGGGGCUCACUCAGGCGGAGGCUAUGCGUCUCACCUGUGGUCACGAGUUGUUAGUUCGUUCGUGAUGUAGGAAUUCAGGCUCACUCAGGCGGAGGCUAUGCGUCUCACCUGUGGUCACGAGUUGUUAGUUCGUUCGUGAUGUAGGAAUUCAAGCUUUCGGGCAGAAGCUAUGGCCGACGCCAGAGGCCACGAGUCGUUUAAUUUAAGUUAGGUCAUAAUGUAGUCAUCUUCAAGCUUUCGGGCGGAGGCAAUGGCCUUCGUCACUAGUCGUUUAGUUAUAAUUUUUAAAAUGUAAUGUUCGUUCGGAUUUUAAGGGCAGGAGAGGCCCCUACGUUAGUUUUAAGUAAUCGAUCAAGAAAGGCUUUUCGGAAAAUGUGAGUAUGGACUUAUCUUUGUUUUAAUUUUAAGUAUUAAUUAUGAUUUGAGGUAUUCGGAAGGACUAGGGAAGUGUUUAGUGAAGUUCUCUCAUUCUCUCUCUUGUAAGGUCGUUCAAUCGUUAAGGAAGUAAAGAGAUUAUUGUUUUAAAUUGUAAUCCCGCUAUUUAAAUGUUCUUUAAAAUGAUGUUGAGUAUUUGACUUUAAGAAUAAAAUAAUUUUAAUUAAGUAUUAUGUUAUUUUGCAAAAUCUCCUUAGUUCAGCUCUCACCAGACAUCCUGUACGGGAUGACGAACCUAUGAUCCUAGGUACAGUAAAGUAUUUUAUGAAGUUAAGACUAGUUGAUGCCAAGCGAGUUGUUUCUAUGUAAAGAGCUACGAUUCUCGCCCCCCCCCUCUGAAGGUGGAUCGUGACAAUAUACUGCAGUACUCUUUUAUUUGGUAUCUUGUAGAAGAGGGCAUUGAAAUGGUUAACAUUCUUUGUUGUCAAUGUACAGCACUUGUAUGCGUUUGAUUGGUGAGCACAUUCGGGCGAUUUUGGCGGACACUUGAACGAAUAUUUUAAAAUAAAUGACAUUGUUGGAGUUAUACAAUUGCAAAUGUAGUAAGUUUUUGGUUUACUUUUAAAGUUAUUUUCAUAUUAAUGUUAGUAAAAUGUAUUAAUUUUACAAAAUAAAUCUUUAGAUAAAA
Bacillus rossius redtenbacheri is the source of this 5539-nucleotide long non-coding RNA. RefSeq lists it as uncharacterized. The record is from RefSeq and is a predicted model, not a curated record. The transcript is spliced from 2 exons. NCBI's taxonomy places the organism in Eukaryota, Metazoa, Arthropoda, Insecta, Phasmatodea, Bacillidae.